Molecule: long non-coding RNA, 821 nt
Organism: Rana temporaria (common frog)
Lineage: Eukaryota; Metazoa; Chordata; Amphibia; Anura; Ranidae
Exons: 3
Source: RefSeq, a predicted model, not a curated record
GCUGGUCGGCUAGUGGUUAAAAGAAAGACCACCCUUCCACCACUUGAUUUUGGAUAAUUAUUAUUAUUAGUUUAUUUUCUUACUUACCUUUUCUGAAGUACUGAAUGUACUUUCAUCCUAGCUUGGCCGCGGCCCAGGGCAUCAUUUCCUCUCCUCCCCCGCUGCAUUCUGGGACAUGUGUGUGGGGCCAUUCAGAAAGCGCUACAGGACUCGCCUGAAGGCUCCACUACCGGUUUUCCUAAGUUGGGAUGGUGGCGCCUGCACCUGAUCUGAUGGACGGAUCGGCCUCGGGGGGCCAGCAUUGUGGGCUCCCUGGACAGGAUUGAAUACAGAUUAGGGGGAUAUGUCUCAUAACUGCAACAGUCGAACAUCAAGAAACUGAAUUAAAGGGGACAAAUAGAAUUUUCAACAUGAAAGCGCUUGCAAUCGCCAUCCCUGGAGAAGCUCUGCCAGUGCCACCACCGCUUUGUGCCACUGUAAGAGCUUACAAGAAGAUUAAUGAGAUGGAAAAUUGCGAUGCAGACAGGCAGAUGUUCCAGUAAGGUGACCCCUUGGCUGCAAAAGAAUAAAGCUUGUCAUCCUGGAGAUCCAAAGUGACACCGGAAGAUUACUGGAGAUCAGAGAGAUCACAGUGUGGACAGUGACCUGCCUAUGAAGUCUCUUAUUUGUCCAGCUGCAGAGACAGAAGUCAGCUGAGAGCCAGACUGUGGUAUGCAGAAGACACAAGAAAUUAUACUUAUGAGGGUUCCAUCACUUCCUAGUCACCAUAUUCUGGGGUUAGGAUGAACUCCAGACAAAUAUUAAAAACUCCUUUAGAUCGA